AAAAAUAACAAAUAGAAAAGCUUUUGAGUAGAAUAAUGUUUAGAAAAAAAGUCUAAAAUGCACCGAUUAUAUUGCUGUUGCGACGUUUUCAACUAAUCAGAUUGUUCCUUUUGAGCUCAACCGUUCCAUCAUAAAUUAUUACAAAAAUAUUUUUAUUUUACUUUUCUCUCUAAUAAAGAUAUAUAUAAUUGAUUGAUUAUUGAUGAUAUAGUGUAAGUGUGAGGGUAGAAAAACGAAAAAACAAAAAAACAAAAAAAAAAGAGAGAGAAUAAGUUAAGU
RNAcentral lists this long non-coding RNA (279 nucleotides) under Ananas comosus (pineapple). RNAcentral's name for it is "long non-coding RNA (ACOM_LNC032937)". The record is from RNAcentral. Lineage: Eukaryota; Viridiplantae; Streptophyta; Magnoliopsida; Poales; Bromeliaceae.